UAAGCGGAGGAAAAGAAACUAACAAGGAUUCCCCUAGUAGCGGCGAGCGAAGCGGGAAGAGCUCAAAUUUAUAAUCUGGCACCUUCGGUGUCCGAGUUGUAAUCUCUAGAAGUGUUUUUCGCGUUGGACCGCACACAAGUCUGUUGGAAUACAGCGGCAUAGUGGUGAAACCCCCGUAUAUGGUGCGGACGCCCAGCGCUUUGUGAUACACUUUCAAUGAGUCGAGUUGUUUGGGAAUGCAGCUCAAAUUGGGUGGUAAAUUCCAUCUAAAGCUAAAUAUUGGCGAGAGACCGAUAGCGAACAAGUACCGUGAGGGAAAGAUGAAAAGCACUUUGGAAAGAGAGUUAACAGUACGUGAAAUUGUUGGAAGGGAAACGCUUGAAGUCAGACUUGCUUGCCGGAGCUUGCUUCGGUUUGCAGGCCAGCAUCAGUUUUCCGGGGUGGAUAAUGACGGUUUGAAGGUAGCAGUCUCGGCUGUGUUAUAGCUUUCCGUUGGAUACGCCCUGGGGGACUGAGGAACGCAGCGUGCUUUUUGCGAAAGACUCGUCUUUUUCACGCUUAGGAUGCUGGUGGAAUGGCUUUAAACGACCCGUCUUGAAACACG
Molecule: ribosomal RNA, 604 nt
Filed under: Rhodotorula diobovata
Lineage: Eukaryota; Fungi; Basidiomycota; Microbotryomycetes; Sporidiobolales; Sporidiobolaceae
Description: eukaryotic LSU rRNA
Rfam family: Eukaryotic large subunit ribosomal RNA
Source: RNAcentral